Molecule: ribosomal RNA, 506 nt
Filed under: uncultured bacterium
Lineage: Bacteria
Description: partial 16S ribosomal RNA
Rfam family: Bacterial small subunit ribosomal RNA
Source: RNAcentral
GAUGAACGCUAGCUACAGGCUUAACACAUGCAAGUCGAGGGGUAACGAGAGGGAAGCUUGCUUUCCUUGUCGACGACCGGCGCACGGGUGAGUAACGCGUAUCCAACCUGCCCCCAACUAGGGAAUAACCUUGCGAAAGUAAGACUAAUACCCUAUAAUUUCCUCAGAUGUCAUCUGACGAGGAAUAAAGAUUUAUCGGUUGUGGAUGGGGAUGCGUCUGAUUAGCUUGUUGGCGGGGUAACGGUCCACCAAGGCAACGAUCAGUAGGGGUUCUGAGAGGAAGGUCCCCCACAUUGGAACUGAGACACGGUCCAAACUCCUACGGGAGGCAGCAGUGAGGAAUAUUGGUCAAUGGGCGGAAGCCUGAACCAGCCAAGUAGCGUGCAGGAUGACGGCCCUAUGGGUUGUAAACUGCUUUUAUACAGGAAUAAAGUUAGCCACGUGUGGUUAUUUGUAGGUACUGUAUGAAUAAGGACCGGCUAAUUCCGUGCCAGCCGCCGCAGAAA